Molecule: long non-coding RNA, 343 nt
Filed under: Gallus gallus (chicken)
Lineage: Eukaryota; Metazoa; Chordata; Aves; Galliformes; Phasianidae
Source: RNAcentral
CGGAGUCCAAGAACUGCUGAUUUCCAACAUCAGUGUAGCUUCUAAGUUCACCAUCAUUUACUGUAAACCCGUUUUUCCAAAGUUUAAUGAUCACAUCAACCUGGUUCUUGACUGUAGUUGGAGACAUGCAUAUCGCACCGAUCUUCUGAGCUUCUUCAAAAAGGUUAUCGACAAAAUAGUCAUGGUUUUGUUCUGUACCAUUCAAAAUCUGGUCACCAGUUCUUGACUUACACAUCCAUUCUUCCUUCACAGUUUUGAUAUUGUCCAUGUUUUCAUCCUGAGGCUCCUCCCGGCCCCGCAGCGCAGCACCGCCCGCGGCCUCCGCAGCGCACCAAGUCCUCAC